UCUACACACGGGUCAUUUGUAAUGAAAGAGUUUCCUUUAUAUCAUGCUGGUGCCUUGUUUGGUCUAAGUCUCUUAGUUUCAGCUGUGGUUUCUUUGUUUCAAAUACCAAUGUUUGCUUUGAUGGAGGGACCGUAUGGCGGUGAUCCAACUUGGGUGAAUGCUGGUUUGUUAGUUGUUCAAAUGGUAGUGAUGGUUCAUCCAAUAUAUUUAUGGAAAUGCGCCGGAACAAUAUCAAACCAUUAUCCAGAUCAAGUGGAUCUAAAAACU
Long non-coding RNA from Dendronephthya gigantea, 267 nucleotides. RefSeq lists it as uncharacterized. Lineage: Eukaryota; Metazoa; Cnidaria; Anthozoa; Malacalcyonacea; Nephtheidae. The transcript is spliced from 3 exons. The record is from RefSeq and is a predicted model, not a curated record.